UUGCCUUUCGCAAACACCUUGUUUACCUUCACGGAAUCCUGCGGGAAUACCUCGAUCACUUGUUACAUGCCAAAACAUGAUAGGGGAGGCGAGGAAAGAAAAGAAAGAAGAAAAGAACGAAAAAGAGAUGAAAACAGAAAAUGAAAAAAGAAAGAAUAAGAAAUAAGAGAAAGAGGAGUAGAGCUAAGAGAAAGACGAAAAAUAAUCAAUCAUUUUGCAUUAGCAUAUUGCAUACGACAUGC
Molecule: long non-coding RNA, 242 nt
Filed under: Lathyrus oleraceus (garden pea)
Lineage: Eukaryota; Viridiplantae; Streptophyta; Magnoliopsida; Fabales; Fabaceae
Description: Pisum sativum (pea) long non-coding RNA (PSAT_LNC001127)
Source: RNAcentral